Molecule: non-coding RNA, 96 nt
Filed under: Streptomyces sp.
Lineage: Bacteria; Bacillati; Actinomycetota; Actinomycetes; Kitasatosporales; Streptomycetaceae
Also listed under: 2 other names
Description: Glycine sequence
Rfam family: Glycine riboswitch aptamer
About the family: This family represents the bacterial glycine riboswitch. Glycine riboswitches usually consist of two metabolite-binding aptamers domains with similar structures in tandem.
Source: RNAcentral
UGACCCCGUGCGGGAGAGUCCUCCAGACAUCAUCGGAGGCGCCGAAGGAGCAAAUCCUCCCCGGAAUCUCUCAGGCACACGUACCGCACGGACGAG